Long non-coding RNA from Melozone crissalis (California towhee), 962 nucleotides. RefSeq lists it as uncharacterized. NCBI's taxonomy places the organism in Eukaryota, Metazoa, Chordata, Aves, Passeriformes, Passerellidae. The transcript is spliced from 7 exons. The record is from RefSeq and is a predicted model, not a curated record.
GCAAGUCCAACUCUGUGGUCUCUUCUUUUCACUCUAAUUGUGCCAGUCUUUGUCCUGUUCGAACAACAAGAUGGGCUGUUGACUUAUGGGAUUCCUUCUACUGAAGAUCUUGCAACUCUGGAAAUAUUACACAGGCUUUGCAGUAGAAACUGUCAUAUGCCAGAAAUUCAGCUGAAUGCUUCUUGGAUUUCUCUGUCUGAGCACCAUGGAGAUGAUGUCUGUCACAAUUGUACAGCUGCUGCAAGUGAUGGUGUGAUAAUUUCCAAAGCUGUUUGUGACUGAAAAUUAAGUGAAGCUGUGACAUACCUGGAACAGUCUUACUUCAGUGACCUAAACUACUUACCUCUGAGAGGUCUGUGAAGAAUACAACACUUACUGUUCUGUCAGGUCUCUGCAACAUGAUUCUUACACUGAGAUGGAUCAAACCUGAGUGUGUGAUUUUAGAAAAGAAAGUGAAGAGAUUGAAAGAAUAAAACUGCUGAAUGUCAAACUCACAAGGACCUACUGAAAUUCAGGACAAAAUCCAAAUUCAGUUUGCAGGAAAUGGAGCAAAGCAAAGCAAACAGAAAAGAGUGGCAGGGUGUUAAUUGCAACCUGCCAUAAUUAAAGUGAAGCAUAGUCAAGGAACAGAUAUCCUCCCAGCUUUCAGCAUAAAAAUGAUAAUGGGCAGCAUCUCUGGACGCUUAGCACUGUUUUGAUAACCCUGGGAAGCUGCAGCAGGGAGAGCCUCAGUGACACACAAGUCUGUGUCUGAGAGCACACAUUAUCAGAUUUUGUUGUGACUCACAGAGGUAGUGGUUAAACUCCUCUUCUCCUGGCACGACCUCCCCACUUCAAGAAUGUUUUUUUAUGGAAGAAUAUAAAUUUGUGAACUCAUGAGUUUAUAUCCAGUCAGCAAGAUGGACCACUAAACUUGAGAACACUACAAAAAAUACAAUAGACAUGAAAGCCUGAAGAGCAUA